This 390-nucleotide ribosomal RNA is filed under the name uncultured bacterium. Its description in RNAcentral is "bacterial SSU rRNA". It matches the Rfam family "Bacterial small subunit ribosomal RNA", at positions 29 to 410 of the family's 1533-position model. The record is from RNAcentral.
AAUGAACGCUGGCGGCGCGCCUAAUACAUGCAAGUCGAGCGAGAAGACGUAGCAAUACGUUUGUAAAGCGGCGAACGGGUGAGGAAUACAUGGGUAACCUACCCUAGAGUGGGGAAUAACUAGCCGAAAGGUUAGCUAAUACCGCGUACGCUCCUUGGACUUCGGUUCAGGGAGGAAAGCGAUGCCGAGGGUAUCGCGCUCUUGGAUGGACUCAUGUCCUAUCAGCUUGUUGGGAGGUAACGGCUCACCAAAGCUUCGACGGGUAGCUGGUCUGAGAGGACGAUCAGCCACACUGGCACUGCGACACGGGCCAGACUCCUACGGGAGGCAGCAGUAAGGAAUAUUGCGCAAUGGGCGAAAGCCUGACGCAGCGACGCCGCGUGGGGGAGU